Long non-coding RNA from Capsicum annuum, 397 nucleotides. RefSeq lists it as uncharacterized. The record is from RefSeq and is a predicted model, not a curated record. The transcript is spliced from 4 exons. NCBI's taxonomy places the organism in Eukaryota, Viridiplantae, Streptophyta, Magnoliopsida, Solanales, Solanaceae.
UGUUUAUUGUUGGUUCUUCAAAUCAAUCUAAGUUGUUUAUUGUUAAGUUUGCAUAGAUCUUUAAAAAUAAUCUCUAUUUAUGUCGUUUGGUAUUUGAUUUGCAGACUCCGUAAUGUCUGGCUCAUGUGAGUCCACUCCUUCUUGAUGAUUUCGUUGAAGAUGUAGAGGAUAAUUGCUUAAGCGACUCUCAAGAAGAUGAGCAAACUGAUCUUGAAGUUGAACUUUUGAGCAAGGAUUUUAAUUGUGCUUACAACCGUCUUAAAGAUAUUGAUCCAGUUGCACCCAACAGAAUUCAUCCAAAUAAUGGCAGAAAGAUCAACCAAUACCUGAGUCGGUAUGCACGAUUUGGUGUUAUUCCAAGCAAACUUCUUCAAGAGAGGACUGUAGAGGUGCGUGC